Molecule: ribosomal RNA, 496 nt
Filed under: uncultured bacterium
Lineage: Bacteria
Description: partial 16S ribosomal RNA
Rfam family: Bacterial small subunit ribosomal RNA
Source: RNAcentral
AUGCACGCUGGCGGCGUGCCUCAUCCCUGCAAGUCGCGCGAACAGACGAGGAGCUUGCUCCUCUGACGUUAGCGGCGGACGGGCGAGUAACACGUGGAUAACCUACCUAUAAGACUGGGAUAACUUCGGGAAACCGGAGCUAAUACCGGAUAAUAUAUUGAACCGCAUGGUUCAAUAGUGAAAGACGGUUUUGCUGUCACUUAUAGAUGGAUCCGCGCCGCAUUAGCUAGUUGGUAAGGUAACGGCUUACCAAGGCAACGAUGCGUAGCCGACCUGAGAGGGUGAUCGGCCACACUGGAACUGAGACACGGUCCAGACUCCUACGGGAGGCAGCAGUAGGGAAUCUUCCGCAAUGGGCGAAAGCCUGACGGAGCAACGCCGCGUGAGUGAUGAAGGUCUUCGGAUCGUAAAACUCUGUUAUUAGGGAAGAACAAAUGUGUAAGUAACUAUGCACGUCUUGACGGUACCUAAUCAGAAAGCCACGGCUAACUACGUG